RNAcentral lists this ribosomal RNA (1192 nucleotides) under uncultured organism. RNAcentral's name for it is "bacterial SSU rRNA". It matches the Rfam family "Bacterial small subunit ribosomal RNA", at positions 274 to 1445 of the family's 1533-position model. The record is from RNAcentral.
CGACGAUGGUUAGCUGGUCUGAGAGGAUGAUCAGCCACACUGGAACUGACACACGGUCCAGACUCCUACGGGAGCCAAACAAUGAGGAAUUUUGCGCAAUGGCGCGGAAGCCUGACGCAGCAACGCCGCCGUGAUGGAAGAAGGCCUUCGGGUCGGAAAGCUCUUGUCAAAUGGGAAGAACCCUGUUGGCAUGGUACACAAGUGUGCCCACUGACGGUCCCAUUGAAGGAAGCACCGGCUAACUCCGUGCCAGACAGCGCGGUAAUACGGAGGGUGCGAGCGUUAUCCGGAACUUCUUGGGCGUACAGAGCACGUAUGCAGGCAGUGCAAGUCAGCGUGUGAAAACCCGGGGCUUAACCUCGGAAGCGCAUUUGAAACUGUGCUGCUUGAGUAUGGGAGAGGGAAGUGGAAUUCCUGGUGUAGCGGUGAAAUGCGUAGAUAUCAGGAGGAACACCGGUGGCGAAGGCGACUUCCUGGACCAAUACUGACGCUGAGGUGCGAAGGCGUGGGUAGCAAACAGGAUUAGAUACCCUGGUAGUCCACGCAGUAAACGGUGAUCACUAGGUGUAGCGGGUAUUGACCCCUGCUGUGCCGCAGUUAACGCAUUAAGUGAUCCGCCUGGGGAGUACGGCCGCAAGGUUAAAACUCAAAGGAAUUGACGGGGGCCCGCACAAGCGGUGGAGCAUGUGGUUUAAUUCGACGCAACGCGAAGAACCUUACCUGGAUUUGACAUCUGCGGGAGUGCUAUGAAAGUAGGAUGUGCCCUUCGGGGAGCCGCAAGACAGGUGCUGCAUGGCUGUCGUCAGCUCGUGUCGUGAGAUGUUGGGUUAAGUCCCGCAACGAGCGCAACCCUUGUCUUUAGUUACCAGCAUUUCGGAUGGGGACUCUAAAGAAACUGCCCCGGUUAACGGGGAGGAAGGUGGGGAUGACGUCAAGUCCUCAUGGCCUUUAUGUCCAGGGCUACACACGUGCUACAAUGGGUUGUACAAAGGGUAGCGAGCCUGUGAAGGAGAGCCAAUCCCAUAAAGCAGCCCCAAGUUCGGAUUGGAGUCUGCAACUCGACUCCAUGAAGCUGGAAUCGCUAGUAAUCGCGGAUCAGCAUGCCGCGGUGAUACGUUCCCGGGCCUUGUACACACCGCCCGUCACACCAUGAGAGUUGGUUGUACCCGACGUCACCGGGCUAACCUUUUUA